GAUGAACGCUGGCGGCGUGCCUAAUACAUGCAAGUCGAGCGAACAGACGAGGAGCUUGCUCCUCUGACGUUAGCGGCGGACGGGUGAGUAACACGUGGAUAACCUACCUAUAAGACUGGGAUAACUUCGGGAAACCGGAGCUAAUACCGGAUAAUAUAUUGAACCGCAUGGUUCAAUAGUGAAAGACGGUUUUGCUGUCACUUAUAGAUGGAUCCGCGCCGCAUUAGCUAGUUGGUAAGGUAACGGCUUACCAAGGCAACGAUGCGUAGCCGACCUGAGAGGGUGAUCGGCCACACUAGAACUGAGACACGGUCCAGACUCCUACGGGAGGCAGCAGUAGGGAAUCUUCCGCAAUGGGCGAAAGCCUGACGGAGCAACGCCGCGUGAGUGAUGAAGGUCUUCGGAUCGUAAAACUCUGUUAUUAGGGAAGAACAGAUGUGUAAGUAACUAUGCACGUCUUGACGGUACCUAAUCAGAAAGCCACGGCUAACUACGUG
This 497-nucleotide ribosomal RNA is filed under the name uncultured bacterium. RNAcentral's name for it is "partial 16S ribosomal RNA". It matches the Rfam family "Bacterial small subunit ribosomal RNA", at positions 28 to 507 of the family's 1533-position model. The record is from RNAcentral.